Molecule: ribosomal RNA, 305 nt
Filed under: uncultured bacterium
Lineage: Bacteria
Description: partial 16S ribosomal RNA
Rfam family: Bacterial small subunit ribosomal RNA
Source: RNAcentral
ACAGCAGCCGCCGCGGUAAGACAGAGGAUGCAAGCGUUAUCCGGAAUGAUUGGGCGUAAAGCGUCUGUAGGUGGCUUUUCAAGUCCGCCGUCAAAUCCCAGGGCUCAACCCUGGACAGGCGGUGGAAACUACCAAACUGGAGUACGGUAGGGGCAGAGGGAAUUUCCGGUGGAGCGGUGAAAUGCGUUGAGAUCGGAGAGAACACCAACGGCGAAAGCACUCUGCUGGGCCGACACUGACACUGAGAGACGAAAGCUAGGGGAGCAAAUGGGAUUAGAGACCCCAGUAGUCCCUGUCUCUUAUAC